This 497-nucleotide ribosomal RNA is filed under the name uncultured bacterium. Its description in RNAcentral is "partial 16S ribosomal RNA". It matches the Rfam family "Bacterial small subunit ribosomal RNA", at positions 28 to 507 of the family's 1533-position model. The record is from RNAcentral.
GAUGAACGCUGGCGGCGUGCCUAAUACAUGCAAGUCGAGCGAACGGACGAGAAUCUUGCUUCUCUGAUGUUAGCGGCGGACGGGUGAGUAACACGUGGAUAACCUACCUAUAAGACUGGGAUAACUUCGGGAAACCGGAGCUAAUACCGGAUAAUAUUUUGAACCGCAUGGUUCAAAAGUGAAAGACGGUCUUGCUGUCACUUAUAGAUGGAUCCGCGCUGCAUUAGCUAGUUGGUAAGGUAACGGCUUACCAAGGCAACGAUGCAUAGCCGACCUGAGAGGGUGAUCGGCCACACUGGAACUGAGACACGGUCCAGACUCCUACGGGAGGCAGCAGUAGGGAAUCUUCCGCAAUGGGCGAAAGCCUGACGGAGCAACGCCGCGUGAGUGAUGAAGGUCUUCGGAUCGUAAAACUCUGUUAGUAGGGAAGAACAUAUGUGUAAGUAACUGUGCACAUCUUGACGGUACCUAAUCAGAAAGCCACGGCUAACUACGUG